GUGCUCACUUCAGCAGCACAUACACUAAAAUUGGAAUGAUACAGAGAAGAUUAACAUAGCUCCUGUGCAAGGAUGACAUGCAAAUUUGUGAAGCGUUCCAUAUUUUU
This 107-nucleotide small nuclear RNA is filed under the name Octodon degus (degu). Lineage: Eukaryota; Metazoa; Chordata; Mammalia; Rodentia; Octodontidae. The record is from RNAcentral.